AUUUUCCCUUGUUCGUAAUGCAUUUUGCACCAAUUUAUUUUGAGUUAAUUUGAUUUUUUAUUUUUGGUGAUUUUAGACAAGAAUGUUGGGAUUGCAGUUAAUGAAGAUGAGUUUAGAGAAAAAGAAUGACCACCUAACCUAACAAAAUAUAAGGUAAUUGCGAUUGAUUUGUUGUUUUGUAGACCUAGGAUGAUAUUUUUUAGGUAGUGAUCAAUUUGCUGAAUUUGAUUGUUAUGUAUUAAUUACUGGAGUUAAAAAGAGUGAAAGGAAAGGUGAUUGACUAAGAUUCUAUCUUUGUGUGUUAUGAAUAAUUGCAGUUGCAGUUUGAAAAAUAUUACAGCAAGUUCCUCUGUCUUAUUUGAAUCUUAUGGGGUGUUAUGAAACGGAAUUUGUUAUUGUUUUUUAGGCAAUGAAGCAUGAGAAGGGAAUCUAUAGAUGAGACAAUCAUUUACAUUUUACCAAACAAAUUGACUUGAUGAGCGAUACGCGAUCUAGAAAGGAAUAGGCAAGCGUGAAACAUGUAAACAAAUUGAAGGUUGUACGCACCAGGGGAAAUGAACUGCCAAUGAAUUUUCCUUCCAACUCUUAUUAUUCCUCCAUUUCGUCUAAAAUGCUAAUCAUAAUAUUAUAAUUUGUCAUGUCAAAACUAAGAAAAACGAUUCAUUUUGAGUGUCAAUUGCUUUUGUGACACGUCUUGUGGGUUUAUAAGUAUAUUAGGAUUGGUUACUGUUAUUGUACAAAUCAAUUUUGGGUACUGUUAUUGCACAAGUCAAUUUUAGUAAUGAGUUACAUUCACCAUCGUCUAACAAUUGUAUUACAAUGGAAAUCCCUUCUUAGGAGUCUCUUAUUGUGAACACGAUAGGACGACUUGUAGAGUUACCCCAUUGAGAAAAAUAGACCACCAUAUCGUUCGUUCUCAAAAGGGUUUAUUGUAUUGAGUCUAUUGACUACUUAGAAUAAAAGGCAUGUCUUAUGGGGACCAAUGAGCCCAUCAUCUCCACCUAUAUAAUGCGAGGGCAUGUUUGAGCCACAUUUAAAAAAAAAAAUACAUUCUUAAACAAUAAUUUGACAUCAUUUCAAACACACAUUUUUCAAUAAAAUAACAUUACAUGCAAAUCCAAAACUUUCUUUAUUUUUUAACCACACAUUUUCCAUCAAUACAUUAUUCGAAAAUUCAUUCUAAGCAAAAUAAUGUGGCUCAAACAAGGGCCUAAUAAAAGCCAUACCACUCCCAUUAGCCUGGCUCCAAGAAACCUUUGUACCCUGCACUCCCCAAUCAACACCUAGAUGAAGUUGGCAAUGUUACUUUAAGUUAAACAAUUUACCUUAAUGACAAAAGCAUUACUCUUCUGUUUGUUCUUAUGCUUUUUUCUUGUGUCCAUUAAUUCACAAAAUGCAAAUGCAAUAGAGACGCUAGCACUUCUUGAAAUCGAUAUUAAAAUAAUUGAUUAUCCCUUCAAUUUUCUCAAUUUCUUGGAAUGAAUUUGCACAUUUUUGCCACUGGCCUGGUGUUGAUUGCACUAGAAGACAUCAACAAAUUACAAACUUGAAUCUGCAGCAUCAGAAACUAACAGGAUCUCUGUCCCCAUACAUUGAAAAUCUUACAUAUUUUAAAUUAACUUAUUCUUGAUAACAACUUCUUUACAGAAAACAUUCGUCGAGAACUUGCAAAGUUGAGAAGAUUGAGAUUCUUAUGGCUAAGAAAUGACUCAUUUGAUGGAGAAAUUCUUGUCAAUCUGUCUUCUUCUUCUAAUCUCAUCGAGAUUUGCCUUUCAUGGAAUAAUCUUUAUGGGAAUAUUUUUCAAUAGAACUUGGAUCUUUGCCAAAGCUUCGGCUGAUUCAAGCUCCAAGAAAUAGUACUGUAGGUGAAAUCCCGAGUAUUUUUGGGUUUCAUCCCUGGAGAUUUUCAAGCUUUCCUCCAACAGGCUUAUUGGGAGGAUUACAAAUGAAUUUGGACAACUGAAUACAUUGGAUUAAGUGAAAACAUAUUGUCUGGUUCUCUCCCUCCCAUAAUUUCAAUCUCACUUCUAUUACAACUAUUUUUGUGCCAAUGAACCAAAUGCAAGAUACACUUCCAUCUUACACAGGCAACAGAGUUGGUGGAGGCGGUGUUGAUGGUUUCGACUCCAAUCAUUAGAGUAUAGAUUUUCUAUGAUUUUUUUUUCAUUUUAUCCUCAUAUGUAUAUUAAUAAUUUCUUUCGAAUAUAUGAUGUCUUAUUUCUCUACCUUACUAUUCUCUUAUGUGUCUCUAGCUAUGUUUGCACGUAUUAAUUUACGCACCCUUUUCAAAAAGCAUCAUAUUCUUUUCAAAUUAGCUAUAUUCAAGUUUAGACGAUGGAAAGAUAUUAUAGGAAUUUUCAUCAAGUGAGAUUCAAGUAUAUUAAUAAAGACAUCGCGUACUGAGUUACGUUAUGAAGUUGUCGAGGCACGUAGUUGACUUGGAGGACUCAUCUUUGACCAGCAACAUACUGCUGAAGACGAACUAUUACAUGUAUAUGUUACUGCUUCUGGUAGGAUUAUGAUCAGUUUCUUUCAAUGCAAAUUUCUCUAAUCAUGAAAAUAUUUUUAAGGGUAUAGAAUGUAGUAAAUAACAUUGAACUCCACGCCUCCAUAUGAUGAAAGUUGAUAGCAUAUAAUUUUGGAUGAAGCUAUUUUCUUAAAAUGACAUUGUUAAUGGGUAGAUUCAAAGAACGAUGAUAAUUUUUUGCAAUUUGCUUUCAGGUCUUUGUUGUGUCCAAAUUGAAUGUUCCUGGUGCAUGACAGAUGCCUCAGGUGAUGUUGUCAUAAUUUCCCCCCUUCAAUGCUAUUGUUUCGACUGAUAUCAUGUGUAAAAUUUGUCACUAUCUUUAUCUAAGCCCUAUUGUAUCAAGCCUUUCAUGGUUGAAUUAAGAUAGAGUAAAGAGGUAACUGCCUUUAUAUAAUGAUCCAAACUUCUAAGAAGUAAUCACAAAACUUUUACUUCUUUUGACAGGUUUCGUCAAGUUGGGUAGACCAAUGUUAUUUCGGGAUGAACUGAGUUUAAAUUUGAUCUCAAGGAAAAAACUAAAGUUAACAUAUCCUACUUUCAGUUUCAACCCAAUUUUAUGGAGAAUUAUAGGUUUGAAGGGCGUCAAAGGUUAGAAAUCAGUACCAAAAACUGUUGAAUAUUCAUCUUUGUUCAAUGAUUGAUGUUCAGAACAUUUAAUUGACCAUGUGUUUCAUUUGUUUAAAGUAAUUUCCUUAUUCAUCAAUGUUAUGCUGUUGCUUUCAAAUUUCUCGAUGUAGGAGGAAUUGAAGAUGUUCUAAUGAGAGCGUACAUCUUGCUUUUGAUUUAAUGUCUCUAGGAAAGAAGGACAACAUUAUAGGAUAAUAAUAUUCUGAUGGUGCAGAUUGUUUUGGAAAGAAUAGCAAAAAAUACUCAUGGCUAUGUUGGUGCUGACCUUGCUGCUCUGCACUGAAGCUGCACUCCAGUGCCUAAGAGAGAUUAUUAUUAUUAUUUUGAUAGGUAAAAAGGAUAUUAUUGAUUUGGAAGACGAUUCUAUUCACGGUGAGAUACUAACUCCAUGAUUGUUACCAAUAAGCACUUCUAGACUACUCUAGGAAAAAGCAACCUAUCCGCUUUAUGGGAGACCGUAAGUGGAUUUUGACUGCUAUAUAUUUUGCUUGAUAUUUGUUUAUAUAUGUUUGUUGUCAUUUUUUUUUUUAAUGACGAGGGAACCCGCAGCCGUUACCCUUCGAGUGCGCACUAGAUAAACCCUCGAGCUGACGCAAUAGCCUGCAAAUCAUGCCAAUCAGGUAAACCGCACAGGCAAGCCUGGUGCGACAACAUGUUUGUUGUCAAUUUUGAUAUGAGAUUAUUACGUGAAAUAGCAGGUUGCCCGAUAUUUGCCUACUUAUGUUUGUUGUCAAUUUAAUAUUCCAAAUGUAUGAAUCACUUCAUUGCUUAGUUAAGUGAUUCAUUAAUAAAAUAACAUUUAACUAAUUUGAUCUUAUAAAGUAGAAAUCAUCCUUUAAAUUGAGUUUCUCACAAUUAUAUCCCGUAUAAUAAAAGUAUAUAAACAUUGACAAUUGUCUGCUUAUUUUGUGACAAAGAACUAUAUUACUAUGAUGUUUACACCUGUACAUUUAAUAAAAUUGGAUACAAAAUAUUAUAAACUUUAACAGUAUAUAACUAACUUCAAUAAAUAGAUAGUCGUAACGAAAAGUUAAAUACAAUGAAUACCAAAUGUUUGUAUCAAGAAUCAAGUAUAAAAAGAAAAGAGAUAAAAAGUAAGUCAAUUUCAACCAAUUUAUGAUUAUAUUUCAUGUUUAUAAAUGAAUUUCUCUCAAAUUUAAUACACUUAAUUUUAAAAUUAAUCAAACAACGUGCAACGUAUGUUCACCUCACUAGUUUUAAAGAAAAAGAUGUAUCACUAGUUUUAUAGAAAAAGAUGUACUAAUGUAUAUAAAAAUGAAAAAGUUUGUGUACAGAACCACACUUUUACCACCCUCUCACAGAACAUGGGGCCACUAUUAUUUUAAUCGCAGACCCCACCCCUAAUGUGAGAGGGUUGUUAUAGUUGCCAUCAAAGUAAUUGUACCUAGUAUGUCUCUAUUUAUAGAGCUUGCCUCCCGUUACUUCUCUCUCCACAGUCGCGAAAUUGCAUACUUUUUCACAUUUUCUCUCUCUGCAUUUGCUGGGACCUUUGGGAAACUGCGAACACCACUUUGUGGUAUCUAUAAUCAAACCUUCAAGAGGCAGCAAUCCAUUUCAAAACCCAAUUUUAAAUUUUCAUUCUCCAAUAUUUUUCAUUUUGUCUUCUGAUAUUUUUGCCAUAGGCGUUGUUUGUCUGUUGAACCCUCACAUAUAUUCUAUUAAGUCAUGUUAGCCUAAGGGUAUUUAAGUCUUUGUACAGCAUUUUUUUAUUAUAGAUCGGUUUGCUGCUAGUUGCAUCUUUGUAUAUAUAUAUACACUUGUACAGUUCAAAGUCAUGCAAUGUGAAUUGAGAUUUCUUUCCCGCCAUAUUCUCUUACCCUUUCAAUUCUAGAAUACUCUACAGCUAACUUCUCAUGGUAUCAGAGCAUUGAUGCUUCUCUGCAAUGGCAAGUGAAUCAAGUGCUCAAUCAAAGAUCAAAAAUCAGUCCAAUUAAACGAAUUCAUCGAUCAGAUUGUCUGCUGAUGAAGUGGUAACUGGAGAUAUGGCUGCUCUCGUUGAUUGAUUGAUAAGUGAUUCAAGCAGUCCGUAUUAUUUGCAUCAUGGCGAUAAUACAGAAAUGCAACUCACCAAUGUCAUGCUCACCGAGGAAAAUUACGCAACGUGGAGCCCUGCUGUUAUUAUGGCGCUCAGCGUCAAUAAUAAGGAAGGAUUCAUUGAUGGAUCAAUUGUUAAACCUUCCUUAAAUGAUCCUCUUUAUGGUGCUUGUAGGAGAUGCAACCAUGUGGUUUCUUCAUGGAUCAUUAAUUCAAUUUUGAAGGGACUAUAUCCGAGUAUGAUGCACGAGGACUCUGCAAGAGAAAUCUGGACUGAACUCGCACAUAUGAGCUUAAAAAGUAAAUUGCUUCGAUUUCUCAAGCAAAUAGUUCUGUUAACUCUUAUUUCAAUCGAUUCAAGGGACUUUAGGAAGAGCCGGACAACUACCCGGAUAUCAGUAACGGUAAUUACAAAUCUGAGGAGUAAGUUGACACUCAAGAACAAUUGUUUCCUGAUAUUCAUCCACCGUUGUUGUCUUAUUCAGGAUCUUUCAACAUGGAUGAUGAUUGGGGUAGGCAAGCUUGAAGAUGGAUUAUAUCAUUUUCAGCAACCUGAACACCAAAGCAGUGAUCAAUCCUCACGCAAUUUCCAACAUCUUAUAACAAAUUCCAUUGUCUUUCAUAGUUCAAACAAUAAUUCUGUCUCGUCUUUGAAAUGUAAUAAAGGAUAUCUUGCUGCCUGUACUUCCUUGAACAAUAUUGUUGUCAAUACAAACAUUGAUGUUUGGCAUUGUCGCUUGGGACAUAUUCCUGUUUCUAAGCUGUCGUUUUACAUAAAUUAGUUCCUGCAAUUGUCUUCAAUGAACAUUUACACUGUGC
RNAcentral lists this long non-coding RNA (6028 nucleotides) under Olea europaea subsp. europaea. The record is from RNAcentral. Lineage: Eukaryota; Viridiplantae; Streptophyta; Magnoliopsida; Lamiales; Oleaceae.